GUGGGGAAUUUUGGACAAUGGGGGCAACCCUGAUCCAGCAAUGCCGCGUGCAGGAAGAAGGCCUUCGGGUUGUAAACUGCUUUUGUACGGAACGAAACGGUCCUGGUUAAUACCUGGGGCUAAUGACGGUACCGUAAGAAUAAGCACCGGCUAACUACGUGCCAGCAGCCGCGGUAAUACGUAGGGUGCAAGCGUUAAUCGGAAUUACUGGGCGUAAAGCGUGCGCAGGCGGUUUUGUAAGACAGGCGUGAAAUCCCCGGGCUCAACCUGGGAAUGGCGCUUGUGACUGCAAGGCUGGAGUGCGGCAGAGGGGGAUGGAAUUCCGCGUGUAGCAGUGAAAUGCGUAGAUAUGCGGAGGAACACCGAUGGCGAAGGCAAUCCCCUGGGCCUGCACUGACGCUCAUGCACGAAAGCGUGGGGAGCAAACAGGAUUAGAAACCCCAGUAGUCC
This 450-nucleotide ribosomal RNA is filed under the name uncultured bacterium. RNAcentral describes it as "partial 16S ribosomal RNA". It matches the Rfam family "Bacterial small subunit ribosomal RNA", at positions 354 to 796 of the family's 1533-position model. The record is from RNAcentral.